Molecule: ribosomal RNA, 216 nt
Filed under: Glomeromycotina sp.
Lineage: Eukaryota; Fungi; Glomeromycota
Description: partial small subunit ribosomal RNA
Rfam family: Eukaryotic small subunit ribosomal RNA (bases 40-216)
Source: RNAcentral
GGGACAGUAGGUUGGUCGUGCCACCGGUACGUACUGGUCUCACUGAUUCCUCCUUCCUGAAGAACCGUAAUGCCAUUAAUUUGGUGUUGCUGGGAAACAGGACUGUUACUUUGAAAAAAUUAGAGUGUUUAAAGCAAGCUAACGCUUGAAUACAUUAGCAUGGAAUAAUGAAAUAGGACGAUCGAUCCUAUUUUGUUGGUUUCUAGGAUUGACGUA